AGCUUCCGAAUUGACGAUCCACUCUAUUAAAUAUGAUCUAGAGUAUUUGAAACUUCUAGAAAAUAAAUUUCGUAAAUUUUCGAAAUCAUAAUAAAGUCCAUCAAGUGGGCAUAAAAUGAACGGUCAAAAUCGAAGGACGUCCUAAAAAAGGGAUGAUCGGAUCCUUCAAUUCAAGAUUGGAGCUAUUGAUCUUUAUCUAUGUAGUGAAUAGAAUUUUCUAUCAAAAAUUCAAUAAAUUUCAAUUCUUUUACACUGUUAAACUUGCAAGUAUCCUAUACCGGCCGUUAAAAAUUGUUAAAUUUGUGACCUUUUGAUCGUAAGGUAAAUAAUGUCGAAAAAUUAUAAAAUUUAAUUUCUAGAAGUUUUAAAUGUUGUAAAUAACGUUUAACGGUGUGGAUCGUCGAUUCGAAAGCUUUAUCAUCGAAAA
RNAcentral lists this long non-coding RNA (427 nucleotides) under Ananas comosus (pineapple). RNAcentral's name for it is "long non-coding RNA (ACOM_LNC009895)". Lineage: Eukaryota; Viridiplantae; Streptophyta; Magnoliopsida; Poales; Bromeliaceae. The record is from RNAcentral.